AUGAGACUCUCCACAUCCGAUCAGUUGGCGGUGGCUAUUUGGAGAAACUAUGCGCCGAAUAAAUGUCGAAUCUUCAUUUGGCUUGCGCUCAAAGAUCGUGUCUACACCAACGAGCGGAGACUACGCAGAUCAAUCGCCACUUCUGAUGCCUGCCCUUUCUGCGGUGUUUGCGAGAGCAUCACUCACCUACUCCUAGAGUGCGCCUCUCUGCGACCUCUUUGGGAGGAGCUUGACAACCACCAUGUCGGGGCGCUCGACAGCCUGCGCGACGUCUGGUUGCGUGCUGCCAUCGAUAAAGUUCGAUCUACCAUUCUAAUUGCUAUUCUUUGGAACACCUGGAAACGUCGCAAUGCUAAGGUCUUUCGCAAUGAGACUCUCCACAUCCACCGCAUCGCUAGGAUUGCGGCUGACGAGCUGCUGCUCUGGUCAAACCGCUGCAAGAACCCCCAACGUCAGGCGCUACUCCGAGACUGGGGAUCCAUGUUGUCACAUCUUGCUGCGAGAUUGUAA
Molecule: ribosomal RNA, 510 nt
Filed under: Triticum aestivum (bread wheat)
Lineage: Eukaryota; Viridiplantae; Streptophyta; Magnoliopsida; Poales; Poaceae
Description: partial small subunit ribosomal RNA
Source: RNAcentral